CAACCCCAGGGGUUAGUAUUUGAUCACAUCCAGAAAUUGCCAAUCCCUGACUCAGGCUGUCUCCAGAGGAGCUUCUGGAAGACCCUGACCACCCUGUGACAAUGAAUCAUGGAGAGCUUCCCAGGGGAAGGGUCUUGGGAAGGGUUGGCUCCACUUCAGGGAGGGCCUCAGGCACAAUCAGACUCCCCAACAGGGGCUUAUGACUAGUGACCCUGGGGCCCAUCAGAUCCUCCAUUGCCCCUACUGCUUCAAAAAAGUCUGGAUCACUGGCAUCCAAGGUCCUCACCACCUUACCAUUCUUAUCUACAACCUUAUGCUCUAUGACCCCAACUUCAAAGACAUCUUUAUUCUUGAACAUCUAUUUUAUGCCAGACACUUCACAGGCAUUAUGUUCUUCAUCCAUUCAGCAAACACAGACUGAGGGAUCAUCCUGGUCCAGGCAUUGUUCUAGGCCUUGGGCAAACAAAAGCGACACGGAGCCUGUCUUCAUGGACACUCUGAUAAGGAAUCAUCCCCGUUUUACAGGUGAGAAACUGAGGCUCACAGAGGUGUUGGGCUGCAGAGCAGUGACUUGAACACAGACACGCCUAACUCCAACACAGUUCUUUCCAUCCCUAUACUUUUCUGUAGCCACCUGAAGCCCCUAGACCGUGGUGGUGAGCCAUACCUCCAGGGCUUUGCAUGAGCAGCUCCCUCUGCCUGGAAUGGCCUCCUCACCUCUUCUCUAACCAGCUGAUCCCCUUUUGUUCCUCCAGGCUUUUCUCAACUUCACCUCCUUCUCUUCCUCACCACCUCAACACCCCCACCUCCCUGGGCUGGCAGAAGUGCCCCUCCUACUCCCAGACACCUCAGGUCCCUAUCCUUGCCUGGAGUUGCUCAUGGCCUUCUUUGAUUGUUGGUCUCUACUGAAAGGUGGGCCCCUGUGAGCACCAUUGUCUCCUCAGGUCUGAGUCACCAAUGUCCAAUGUGAUUUGGGUCAGAGGAUCAGGGCCUGUCGGUUCAACCUCCCCUUUGUCCUGAGAUGCUUCCCCAGGGCAUGGCAUAGUUGGAAAACCAGUCCCCUGGAAGAAAGUUUUGGUGCCUGUUGAAAUAAAGUGGCUUCUGGAGGAGCUGGCUUGAAUCACUCAUACCUCCACGGGAACACGUCUUCCAGAGCUGGCUUGGGUAAGGAGGAGCUCCUGUCUGAAGGUCUUGCUUCCAAGGAUGCCCUCUAGGGAGCACUGUGGGAGAGGGGCUGUCUGGGGAAGGUGGCUGUGUUUCUUUCCCCUUCCAUACAGUUUAGUUCCCCCCCAGUCCCAGAUGGCCAACUGAGCCAUCCUCUGCUGCCACAGACCUCCUGCCAUGUGAAGAUUCCAGCUCUGACCAAACAAAGUUCUUCUAUAUCUGGCCUGUCUCAGCUCUUCCACCUGGAUCUCCCUUCCCCCUUUGCAUCUACAUUAUACAUUCCAGCAAGUUCUCAAACAUUCUCUGAGCAUACAAUACAGUUUUACACCUCGAUGCCUUGCACCUUGAACAUUGGCUAAAAGGGAGGUGAGAGUCUCCAUUUCUUAUCGGCCAACCCCUUGUCCAGAAUCUCCAGGCUGAGAAACUACUUUCCUCUGCUUUUCCCAGUGGGUGAGGUCUUGAAUCAGGGCCAGAGGGACUCCAGAAAUUCUCCCUAUCUUAGUCACUUUUCUCCCCAUUGACCCCACAGCUGGCCAGAGAGGGAAGUGGAAACUCCCUAGUGUGUGGGGACUUCUAAUCUUUGCUCUCUGUGCAGGGACAAGAUGGAGACUCAGCACAAUUCCACUCCCUUCCCUUCCCAGCCCUAUCCUGGGAUGGGAGGGACAGAAGAACAGUGCAGGGGGCAAAGGUUGGGAACUGGUCUGGGGAGGCUGAGGAAGGUGUGGAGGUUGGAGGAAGGGAACUGACAUCUAACAUUUACAGAGAACUACUAAGCUCCAGCACCCAUUGCAGAUUUUAUUUGUUACCACCCCAACUGUCAUCUUAACCCCCAAAAGGUAUUCAAGCCCUGGAGUUAGCUGUGGCAUCUGGAUGGAAAAGGCUGCAAGGAAAAGAAGGUGGAAAGAUCCAGAAUCAGUUAGGAAUCCAGGUUACACUGCUUGCUGCUGUGUUUCCAGGUCUAUCUGGUACAUACUGGCUGAUCAACAAAUAUCUGUGCAAUGAAAUUAUUAGCUGUGUGACUUUGGGAAAAUUUUUUAACUUUCCUCAAUGCCCUCACAGUGAAAUGCUGGUCAUACUGUGGGGCUUCAAUUUGAGAAGAUUAAAUGAACAAAGAGGGGAAAGCCUGGAGAUGUGUAGAAUGAGCUCAACAACAAUUAGUUGACAAUAAAAAUCAAAGUCCUGCUAUGAUCUGGCUGGGAUGAAAUUCUGGAUCAUGGAAAAGAUAUGGAAACUGGGGCACACUGAGAUGCAAACACUGCAUGCUGAUAGCCACAUGGUACUGCCUCAGGGAUCUAGUCCAUCAAGAGAGUGGCUGGAGAGUGGCUGGGAGACUGAGAGGUUCCCAAGAGGCCAUUGGAAGAUUCUGGCUCAGGGGGAAUUUAGUAUUCACCUGCCCAGGUGAGGAGAGCCCAGGGUCUGAAACAGAGGGCAAGGAAAUGAAUGCAGCUGAAAGUGGGAGGCAGAACAAGUCUUAGGAAAGCAAGUUCAAGCAGUAGGAGCAGUUCAAGCAGUAGAAGCAAUGAUUUGAAGCAAGGGGAUAGUGGCUGCUGAUGGCCAGGGAGGGUUUUGGAUGACUGACAGCUCUAAAAUUUGAUGUAGAAAAUCCAGUUCUUGGGGCACCUGGGAGGCUCAGUUGGUUGAGUGUCCGACUUCAGCUCAGGUCAUGAUUUCAUGGUUUGUGAAUUUGAGCCCCACGUUGGGCUCUGUGCUGACAGCUCGGAGCCUGGAGUCUGUUUCAGAUUCUGUGUCUCCCUCUCUCUCUGCCCCUCCCCUGCUCACUCUGUCUCUCU
Molecule: long non-coding RNA, 2954 nt
Organism: Acinonyx jubatus (cheetah)
Lineage: Eukaryota; Metazoa; Chordata; Mammalia; Carnivora; Felidae
Exons: 3
Source: RefSeq, a predicted model, not a curated record